ACGGGUAAGUAAUACAUCGGAAUGUACCUUGUAGUGGGGGAUAGCUCGGCGAAAGCCGGAUUAAUACCGCAUACGCUCUGAGGAGGAAAGCGGGGGACCUUCGGGCCUCGCGCUACAAGAGCAGCCGAUGUCAGAUUAGCUAGUUGGUGGGGUAAAAGCUCACCAAGGCGACGAUCUGUAGCUGGUCUGAGAGGACGACCAGCCACACUGGGACUGAGACACGGCCCAGACUCCUACGGGAGGCAGCAGUGGGGAAUUUUGGACAAUGGGCGAAAGCCUGAUCCAGCAAUGCCGCGUGUGUGAAGAAGGCCUUCGGGUUGUAAAGCACUUUUGUCCGGAAAGAAAUCCUCUGGGUUAAUACCUCGGGGGGAUGACGGUACCGGAAGAAUAAGCACCGGCUAACUACGUGCCAGCAGCCGCGGUAAUACGUAGGGUGCAAGCGUUAAUCGGAAUUACUGGGCGUAAAGCGUGCGCAGGCGGUUUUGUAAGACGGAUGUGAAAUCCCCGGGCUUAACCUGGGAACUGCAUUCGUGACUGCAAGGCUAGAGUAUGGCAGAGGGGGGUAGAAUUCCACGUGUAGC
This 581-nucleotide ribosomal RNA is filed under the name uncultured bacterium. Its description in RNAcentral is "bacterial SSU rRNA". It matches the Rfam family "Bacterial small subunit ribosomal RNA", at positions 102 to 679 of the family's 1533-position model. The record is from RNAcentral.